Molecule: ribosomal RNA, 468 nt
Filed under: uncultured bacterium
Lineage: Bacteria
Description: partial 16S ribosomal RNA
Rfam family: Bacterial small subunit ribosomal RNA
Source: RNAcentral
GACGAACGCUGGCGGCGUGCUUAACACAUGCAAGUCGAACGGAAAGGCCCUGCUUUUGUGGGGUGCUCGAGUGGCGAACGGGUGAGUAACACGUGAGUAACCUGCCCUUGACUUUGGGAUAACUUCAGGAAACUGGGGCUAAUACCGGAUAGGAGCUCCUGCUGCAUGGUGGGGGUUGGAAAGUUUCGGCGGUUGGGGAUGGACUCGCGGCUUAUCAGCUUGUUGGUGGGGUAGUGGCUUACCAAGGCUUUGACGGGUAGCCGGCCUGGGAGGGUGACCGGCCACAUUGGGACGGGGAUACGGCCCAGACUCCUACGGGAGGCAGCAGUGGGGAAUAUUGCACAAUGGGCGGAAGCCUGAUGCAGCAACGCCGCGUGCGGGAUGACGGCCUUCGGGUUGUAAACCGCUUUCGCCUGUGACGAAGCGUGAGUGACGGUAAUGGGUAAAGAAGCACCGGCUAACUACGUG